Long non-coding RNA from Thamnophis elegans (Western terrestrial garter snake), 1112 nucleotides. RefSeq lists it as uncharacterized. The record is from RefSeq and is a predicted model, not a curated record. The transcript has 5 exons. Lineage: Eukaryota; Metazoa; Chordata; Lepidosauria; Squamata; Natricidae.
ACACUUUUUUUUAAAGAGUAAAAAUGCUAGAAGAGUACAAAUGCAAAGAUGUCGGGAGAGUUUAUCAGCGGUUUUUUUGAUGUCUCAGGAAAAAUAUGAUCAGUCGAAUUUUUUUUAUCCUUUUACUUCAGACUGGCAAAAGUGUGUGUAUGCGAAUUACCUCCAAAAAAGCAAAACAAAUUAUGAAAAACAUUUGCUUUAUUUGCAUAGUGGGACAGAUUGCAGCCUGGAAACUAUGAAAAUACAAGUGAAAAUUGUUUUAAAGCUUAUUAUUUGUCCCUACAUGACAUGGAGAUCAGACUGCAAAUGCUUCAUGGCACUAACAAGACUAUACUGGCAAGAUCUUCCCCACUAUAACUCUGCAUAUACAAGUAGUCCUCGCUUAACAACUGAUCUAUUAAGUGGCUGCUCAAAGUUAUGAUGGCAAUGAAAAGGUUAACUUUAUGACAAGUCCUUGCAUUUAUGGCUAUGGCAGCGCCCCCUGCAGUUAUGUGAUUAAAAUUUGGGCAUUUUGUAACCAGCAGGAAUUUAUGAUUGUCACAGAAUUUCAUGAUUGCAUUAUGGCCACUUGCACUUCUACUGAAUUCCAUCCAGUAGAAUCCACGGAGGAACUAGAGUAAAAUUGGAAGUGGAUGUUGAUGUCUUGCUUGAGAUCCAUAACAGAAACGACAUCCCCUUCUGUGUGAUGUCACCUGCCAAAGAAACGAAAGAAAAUCAAGACAAGCUUUAAUGAAGAAAGAACUCAUCUGCUCAAGUCAAGAAGCACUCUGGCAGGCUUUGAUCACUAGCAGCUCCUCCUGGCAUUAUCCAACUGCUGAUCUUGAGCUGUCUGAAAAUUUGGGAAGCUCCAGUCCCAGAACCUCAAGAGGACAACGAAUUUAUUUAUAAAAUGGUGGGGCAAUAAGACUCAGCAAGCUUCACCAACAAUCUUUGCAUAUGUACUUGAAAAGCCUCAAAGCAUCUGCAUAGAAGACCAAAGAAACUACUUGGAUAAAACAGCGAAACUUUUUGAACCAACAAGAAAAAGAAGUCCAUCUGCUGUGACUCAACUUCCAGAAAAUUCAUCUGAAUAGAUUCCUCUGACAUAUAAAAUAAUAACAAUUUCUAAAUAA